Molecule: long non-coding RNA, 22781 nt
Filed under: Gallus gallus (chicken)
Lineage: Eukaryota; Metazoa; Chordata; Aves; Galliformes; Phasianidae
Description: lncRNA (ENSGALG00010029111.1)
Source: RNAcentral
ACUGCAGAAGGGUUGGUUCUAUGCCCUUUAUGCACAGUAGGCACCGCUGCUGCCUGUCCCCAGCAUGGCACGAGUUGGGGACCAUGAGUGGUGAGGACCUCUUGUGGUGCCUCUCCCUGAGCUGCAGGCACAAAGGUUGGAUUUCUUCCCUAUGGCUGCGUGAAGAGCUGCUGACUGCUCCACCAGGAACUGAGGCAAUAAUCCCAGCUUGUUGUUCUCCUUCUCAUGGGAGACUUCUUGUGCAAAAGAAGCAUCAGUAGAAUGAAUCAAACGCUGCGGUAGUGGCCCCAUUCCCACGUGCUCUGUGUGCUCUUCCUCUCGACUCACCGGUGAGGAGGCGGUAUCAUGGGGAGGCUGUUCUGAAAAUGCUUUUAAUUGAUUUAAUUCAUAGCUGUGUUGGAGCAGGAAGGUGUUCCUUCCUUGUGCCCGGGAAUGGCAGAAUGUCCUCCAGCUGCCCCCAGAGAUGCAGCGCUGUGCCUGGGUAGCACUGUCUUGCUGCUGGCCAUCCAUGCCAAGCCUGGGAAUGAAAGCUUUGGCAACAGCCUGGACCAAGCUCUGGUAUCUUCCUUAUCGAGAAGCAUGCUGAUUACUGCAGACAAAUUGGAGAUGAACUUGCCUCUAGAGCCCAACGUGUUUGUGAAAUGAAUUGCAGUUACAUGGGGAUUUAUUAUUUCUGCAAAAGAGGCUUUCUUAUCAUGAUUUUUCCUUCCAUCUUGGACUCAUCGCUACCAGACCAGGAACCUUCAAACAGAUGUGUUUGGAGCCUUGAUGUGGGCUCACAGUGGCUGGGAAUCUUCUUGUUAUUCCUACGAAAAACAGACUCCAGCUGGAGGGGAAGAAGAGCCUCCAGCAUUAGAGAUGACCUAAACAGCACAUGUUGCAAAUGAGAUGGGAAGUGGAGAACUGCUUGAAACAUCUCUGGCCCUUUCAGCAGAACUGUUUUCCCUUUGCCUUCUCAAGGCUGAGCUGCAGACAUUGCAAGAAUGACCCCAGCAGACUGCUGCUGUUUCUGUUUUGCAUGUUCACAAGGCAGCUUCUGAAAUAAGUUUGCACACUGUUGAUCUUGCACUGGACAGCCUCACAUCAGGUGGCAGGGAAGCCCUUGCUCAUGCUGCCCUGACCCUGCUGCUCUUACUUCCCAUGCUGAUGCAUCAGUGCAUGAUGUGGCUGGAAAUGAGGUGGUGCAGGGUGGUCUCCUUGGGUUUUGCAGCUGAAAUAGGUUACUGAGCUCCUGAAGGCAUCCACCAGGAUUGCUAUGGCCUGGAACAGCCCUAGGAAAGAUGCUCUGCUUCAAGCUGGGGUUGUGCUGGUGGUGGGAGCUGGGGAUUUCAAAUCUUCCUACAGUUGGAUAUUUCAACCAAUGGCAUAAAUAAUGGAAAGCCUUCCAAAAGAAUGCCAUCCUAAGGGCUGUUCCCCUAAGAAGAAAUGCAGGUCAGGAAAUACAUUGGCCAUAUGAGUUUGUGAGUCCUUUCAAUUGUGAACAGUGCACUAAUCAAGGUUUGGCUAAUGGGUAUGCUGGGAUAUGCACACAGAUAUGCUCUUCUUUUGAGUCUUUCUCUUUACCUUUCAACCCCUGAAAUCAUCCAAGCUGCUAACACUCUGAGGAGGAUGAUGCAGCAAAAAUAAUAGGUUUAGCAAGAAGCAGAAAAAUGAGAUUAGCAUCUGUUUUUCUGGGAAAAAUAUCAACUUUUCCUGCUUAGAAAAUGAAUGGGUUGGAAACCAGCUUGUAAAACUCGAAGCCUGACUCAGGCACUGAUUUGUCACGGGGCUGUCACCUGCAGUCACUGUUAGAGAGGAGCCCUCAAUGUUCUGUCCAAAAGGAACGAUUGCUGUCUGAGUUAUUGAUGGAUUCGUAUGUGGGGAAGAGCAAAUCCUGGUCAAGCUGGAGGACUUUUGCACACAUUCAGCAGCGAGGCUGGAAGUAAAGCUGAAGUUGCGUGGCAGGAUGCAGGAGGCGGAGCAGUGCAUUGAGUUGCAUGACGCCAGGCAGCAGGAGGUGUGGGCUGCCCACUACCUGUUCCUGGACAGCAUGGCCAGGAGAUGGAGAUAAUCCCUCUCACCUCAUAGUGCACUGCUCUUCCACAUCAUUCCCCUGCUCCUACUCAUACCUCCUCAUGCCAUCCAACAUAUUUCGUCCCAAUCCUUUGCCUUCACACCCUUGAAACCCUUCCAGGCUGCUAUAGUGUCCCUUUCUCCAACUCACCUCUCCAAACCAAGCCAUACCCCCAGGCUCCAGUCCCAUCCCAUAAAUCAGUCUCUCCAAGGCCCUGACCGUAUUCUGAGAUUUCCAGGGGCUGUGCGGCUCCUCCUGGGCUCACAUCUCUUCUCCCUGCAACAAUAAAAGGCUGGAGACACGCAGCGGGGUGAGGCUCGGGUUUCUGGGCUCGUUUUAUAACUGGUGCUGGGGAUGCUUUGCGCGGAGCCCUCCAUGCGGUGAGGAAGCGGGGCAGGACAUGUCGAGCAGAUGGCAAUUCUGGACUGCAGAUGAGGGCUGAGUUAUGGCGCUCGCAGCACAUCUUUGAUACACGUCCAGCUUUUAUCAGAUGGUUCCACUCAGUGUUUGGCACAGCUGAUGUGAAGGGAAGGCCGAGGAGCAGACCUGCAGUGGGAGCAGCCCCCCAUCCCUAGGGCUGUCCCCCUCUGUGCGCUGAGCUGGGACUUCCCCUGCUUCUCCCACUCCUCCGGUACUGACACAGCUUUAUCCUGCAUACAAAACUGCUGAUAUGCUUAAAGCUCCCCUAGGCUGCACAGGCUCUUCUCCCUUUGCCACAUCAGCGCGUGUUGCAAGCAGCUGGGAGGAUGGAGAGCAUGUGAGCAUUUCUUGGAGCUAGAAGGCUCCGCUCCUCGGGUUUUGGCUUCAGAUGACCCACUCUUCUAAUACACUCUGCACUUAAUUCACUCUUGCCAGUGCAAAUGCUCUUAUUUAUGAGGUUGGUAAUCACUUUCUAUCAACACGCUCUGGAAGUCUGCUUCACCCACAGAACAUUCCUUCAAUAAAUCCUCCCCAUGAAUAUUCCCAGCCCAAGCUGAGCCCAACGCCUACUUGUGGUGUAGGAGAUGCUUUCAAAGGACUCUCACUGAGUUGGGUUGGCUUAAAGCACACCUCAAGCCUUGAUGCAAGUGGACCCAGGUAAGCUCACAAGAAGGAAACCCAAGCCUUUCCCAAACUCCUUGGAAACACUGAGUUUGGUGUCUUCUUCCUCCUUAACUUAAAAGCCAAGAAAUGUCUGUGCAGGAGAAUCAAUCACAUCACAAAGGAACCUUCUGGAUCCCAUGAAUGCCCAUUCUUUAAGCCUUAGAAUUUUACCCAUCCCCCUUUCAGGAGGGAAUGCAGAUAUGUUUUCCAUUGGAAAUAUCCCCAGGGUCUCAUGCCUCAUGCUGAGCAGCAAUCCCUGUGUCAAUUAAAAUGUGUUAUUCUGUUGAGCUCACCCUUGGGUCGAGCCAUAGGGCAGCAGAGGUCCAUGCCAGGACAGCGCCAAUGAACACAGAAUGGAGCAUCUUUAGCUCAGAGCUUUCUGCUCUGUAUCUUUCAGCUCCUUCAUGGACCAACCAGAGCCCAUAUUGAUGCCAUUUACUCAGCUGUCAAGUGGGUUUUUUAUCCUAAUGCUCCACGGUGGGGAAAUAGGAACCUGCAAUGAACUUGCUUCAAAUCGAGACAUAUUUAACUCGAAUAAACCAGCGGCCGGGCUGAAUAAACACUGCAGGCACUUCAGAAAGGAUGUUAAGUUGACAUAAGAUCUGUUGGGUGAGUUCAAGAAAUGGGAGAUUUGAUGCUGAAGUCAUAAAUCUGCUGGGUUAAAAGGGGGAUACUGCUGAGCUCUGCAUCUCAGUGAGAGACAAAGGCAGGAUGUUUGCUGUCCCAGUCUGUGGGCAGCAGGUUUCUGUCCUAUGGCAGCUGCUGAGGAGUGUGGGCUUCAUCUCCACCGCUCUCUUCAAAGCCGAGCAGGUUUUGCUGACAAAAGCUGGCACACGGACAUCAUGAAGAGCAAUGAAGAGCAGGGCUGCUGUGCCAGUGUUGCUGGUUCCAGCUGGGACAGCCCCAUGAGUUGCUGGGAGCUGAGGCAGCACUGAGCCCCUUGGCUCUCCGGAGGCACUGUGGCAGGGAAACAGCUCUCUGUGUCCUUUUCCAAAGCACAAGGAUAUGGGUGCAGCUGCAGAAACACGUAUUGCCCUCAGACUGUACUCUGCAUGGAGCACCCGCUGGUACCCCAUCUCUGAAGGCACACUUGGGAGCCUGAAACUGCAUUUGGCCCCAAUCUGAGUAGAGCAAAAUCGUGUGCAGUACUGAAGUCCCAUUUAAUUUCUUAGAGUUGUUGCAAUGCUCCUAGGGUUGGCACAACUCAGGCUGAGUGGAAAGGAAGGUAUGGAUGUGGCUACGGUUUCUGCCUCCAGCUCCAGCUCUCAGGUCUUGAGGAAGAAGGUUAUGCUUCCUCUGUCCAGUGUGAUGCAUCUGGGGCUGCUCUGAGCAGAACACGCGCCACGUCCCUGUGUGUUCGCUGCCGGAGGGACUCAGUGGGUCAAGGGGUGAGAGCUUACCCCAGCCUGAGCUGAAGGAUCGCAGAUGUUUCAUAUUUCUGCUCCAAAGAGAGGGAGAGAGAAGCUGCAGAGAAGACUGCAAUAUUUUUUUUCAAUACAUUCCAUAUGUUUCCUCCAUAAGUCAUGAUUAAAAAGUGGUGCUGGUCCAAAUAGAAAUAAGCCUGCAGGCUUUUCUGCUGCUUUUGGAGGAAGAAGCAGACUCAGUCUGAUUCACCCCUAAGGGGAGAAGGGCUCUGAGCUGACUUGAGAACACGUUUCCAUUGGACUUGUCAUCCACGCUGUCCCUGCUCCCAGCAUUGCUGUUGUCUUGGCAAGAAGCACUUCUCAGCCCUGGCUCCAGCUUCCUGGUGGAAUACACCAAAUACUUGUCCCCAGGUGCCUGACAUCAAUGCAGGGUGCACAACCCAUUGUUACGGGACCAGAACACACAGGGACUGCAAAUGACUUAUUUCCUUGCUACCAUUUCCACUCUGCUCGCUGAGGUCCAAACACUGCAGAAAAAAAUGGCAGGUUCGGAGGGAGGAGGAAAACCCAGCACCCACGAGGGGAAGGAAUUUGCUCUCUCCAAAAGGCCACGCUUGGUAUAAUUAUGCCAGCCAAACGUGCACAGAAGCCUUCAGCAAUUCCUGUGGUAAUCGUUUCAUAUGUGUGGGAUUUUUUAGGCUGGAGCAUAAUUACGGCUAAUUGCUGUUUGAUUUUGUUCCUGUUUAUAUAGCCAGUAAGGGAGUCGUUGAAAUGUCUUUACUGAAAGACUUUCUCCCUUCCUUUUCCUUCUCUUUUUCUUAAAUCAUCCUGGAAAAGAAAAGAAGGGAUCGUGUUGCAACACGGUGAGUUGUGAAUGGCCAUCAGCUGUCCAACAUCUCACAGCAAAGAGCCACGUUCAGGACUGAUGUUUUCCCAGCACUGGGAACUGAUGGUGCGCUGAUUUGCAGAACUAACGAGGACUUGCAAAGAUCUUGGCUGUUGGUUAAUGAAACCCUCCUGGGCAGGAGGCUGAGGCUGAAUUUAUCUGGGGAGAUGGGAGGAUCUGGACUGCUUCUUGCAGUCUGUUCACUAGAGCCCACGGAGAGAGAAGUGGAGCUGGUGGGGCUCAGCACAGCUCCACCACCAGGAGCUCCUCUUGGCAUGGCCAUUGCCUUUGUCAUGCCUGGUUAUCUUUUCUCAGCCCUGGUUCUUAACAUAGUUGUCCCACAGCAUGACUCAAUGGGAAUUAGGCAUCAAGUUUGCUCUGAAUGUUGGGAGUUUCCAUGUUCAGAUGGCCUGCAGUGAAGCCAGAAGCCAGAUGAUCCCUACAUCGACCCAUCCAAACAGACCUAUAUGUCUUUGAGGCUUUACUUUUCUUUUGGAAAAUUGGCUGUAUGUUUGGGUGCUUGCGCUCACGUUGCCUUUAAACGCAUCCUACCUCACUUGAAUGCAAUGUUCCUCCAGAUGGAGGAGAGUCAGCAGCUCACGGAGGCUGUGAUAUUCUCAUUCCUGAGCACUGCAUCCUUCAGAGGGGACCGAGAACACACGAAAACUCUCUUGGCUGUGGUCAGCCCUCAGCAGCUGCCCCAGCCCCGUGCCAGACACACGCUGGAUUAGAGGGUGCAGGGUGCUGUUGCUAUGGGACAAGGUGGAGGGAGCAGGCAGGUGCCACUCGUAGCCCUCUGCUAUGGAGAAUGCAGAUCUUGUUUGCUCUGCUUUUUUUUUCUUCUUCUUUUUUUCCAUUUUAAUGCUCUUUCUAUCUGGCUUCUGCCUCUGCUCCAGGAAGCCAAAUUAGCUCAUGGUCUGAGGCUCCAGCACUGAAUAUAAGCAGAAGCAAGCUGACAUCAGCUUGAAAUAGAAGCAGUAAUAGAGCUGUUUACUGUCAUGUUUCACUUUGACGAUUCAAAGGAGCAGGAAACAAUCCCAGGGCAUUGGGCACUCACACAGCCACCAAAAGCGCAUCCCUGAACCCAACUGAAUCCAUCACAAAGGCUCGGGAGCAGCAAAGUGGGGGGAGUUUUAGUGCAAGCGUGCCCAGAACACUUUAAAAUCCAUCAGAUUCUUUGCCCAAACACCAUCUCUGUGUGCUCUGAACCAACAGAGCCAGGAAUCUGGUAAACCAAGCACUUUGGCUGUGCCUGGGCUGUAGCCACACAAGUGUAAGACAUCACCUACAUCCUUCACAUGGUGUUAAUUAACAGCUAUGUAUGGGGCUGUGCUUCUCAGCCUGACCGAAAGCUGGAAGCCCAAGUCUCGAAUUCUCCCGGCCAGGAUGCAGCAUUUGCUCAGGGAAUACCAAAGAAAGAUGGAAAAGCAGCCCCACAGCUGCCUGCUUGUGCCUUGGGCAGAGCCCUUGUGGCUGCUGGUUGUCUCUGGAAGCUGCUGCCUCCCCCUGGCACUGCACUCUGCAUGGUAUGGAGUGUAUUUUUAACUAGGAAGAUAAUGAGACAGUGGCAGCUCCUCCCUGCAAUUCUGUGUUUGGAAAAUUUCAGCCACGGUGCUUGCAGGUUAAAUAGCAGGCAGAAGGAGAAUGAGCUCUUGAUUAAAAUAUGUCUAGACAGCCUUCUGUGUUUUUAAGUCCUAAUUUAGAGGACCGAGGUAGGAAGGGAUUUACAUCAUUUCCAACAUCUGACCCGUUGUUUCUGAUGGUGGUAAGACAGCUGGCACAGCCAGCCCUCACUUUUACCUGCAGUCUCAGGACAUUCAGUGACUGCAGCCACGUGUGUGGCUAUGGAAGAACUCUUCUUUUGUGACAACAGGAAAUACUCAUUUCUAAUGGUCGCAGAGCAAGUGAGACCCAUAUGAACGAUAUUAAGUUUGGCGUUCCAAGCCAUCUCAUGACUUUGAAGGCUUAGUCUAGGCCUUGGGCACGCAUAUACUCCACUGCAAUUAUCACUGGCACUUGGCUUGAUUUGGAAAUCAAGCUCCGUAAGAGUCCUGUCACUAAAAGCUGUCUCUGAGCCUGCAGUUUCCAACCACCACCAACACAGCUCUGACAAUCAGCUCCAGUGCUUUCAGCAUUUGCACCACUCAGCCACGCAUUUGGCUCCAAGGGCUCAAAGCGACGCGAGCUCACUGUCAGACGCAGUGUGAUGGAAGGGCUCUACAGCUGUUGCCCUCACAUUUGAUAGCCAGUGUUGGCUUUGUUGGGAAAAGAGGAACUGAAACUCUUCAGACUCUACCAAAAACAAGAAGCGACAUUUGGGUGUAUUUUGAAGAAAUACAGAGAAAAGAGGUAUUGGACUGUUUGGGCACCAAAUUGCUUCUGCCAAAAUGUAUAUGUCCUGUGGCAGCAGAUUGCAGUGCCACGAGGCAGGGAGCUGCUGGGCAGGGCUGUGUGCUGGACCACGGGCAGCAGGUUUCCACAGGGCUGCUUGGAAGGGCUCUGGGGAAUCAAAGCAAGGAGAAGGAAGGGAGACACCAACCGAGUAAAGACUGACUCAGAAUGAACCCCCAGAAGGGCUCUAAGUGCAACACUGCAGGACCUUCUUGACCCUUUGCAAUUGUUGCCGUGACCAGAUGCAUUGAAAAGGUGACAGGGUAAGAAAAGUGAAGACUUUGGAUUUGAAAUGAUUUGGAUUCCGUUAACUUUAGUGCCUCCUUCUCCAGAAGGACUCCAUCCUCUGAGUGUGUAAGCAGGAUCAGGGUGAGGAUGGCACUGUGCAUCUGGAAUAGCACUUCACAGUGGUUCUGUGGGGGCGGUGGGACUUGGAAACUUAAUGAGAAACACAAGCUUGCAGAAAGGGGGUGGGAAACCGGGUUAGAGAUACAGCAGGGCGGUUUGCAUUCAGAUCGCGGGAACUGAGUAAGUUUCUGAGCUAGAGAUGUUGUCAGCUCCUUAAUGACUUCUCCAUCCAUCGCCCAUUACGUUGGGUCCGAUGCACUUAAGAUGUGAGUCACUGCUCCAACCCUCACAGGGUGACAGGACCCGGGGGAGCACAUGAGAGGUGCUCAUUCUGUGGGUGGCUGCUCUGAGCUCUGUCUGUGUCAUCACAACGGGAUCAUUCUAAACCAACAGAACCCCAGUGUGUUGCUACGGGCAGGGCAGCCCAGGCCAUUAGGCAGGGCUUUAUUUUUGGAUCUGGGUCUUGCUUUCAAGCUUUCGGCAUCCUACACUUCUUUCAGCUGGGGAUGGUCCCAUUUCCAAGAGGGGAGCUCAUUUGAGAGGCAGACAAUCUUCCCAUAGCCAUUGCCACUUGGCUGUCUGCAUACUUCAGCCCAUCACUCUCCCUGCUCCCAGUGAGCAUCUCUGUCAUCUGAAAGCUCAGAAAUCAAACUUUGAACUGAAUAAAAGCCCCUCCCCCUCCAACAUUGACUGAAAUACUCUUUAAAAACAAAUCCUUAUAUAUUCUAAACUCAAAAACAUCUGGGUUUCCAAGCCCCAGGAAAUUACAGCUCCCAUUCUGGAAAUAAAAUACAUGUUUGUCCAUAGAUUGCAUUAAUUAAACCCCAUAAUAUGGAAAGAAGCCGGUAAAAUUCUUUCCUGAUGGCUGGCAGAUUUGCAUAGCAAUUUCUCAUAUUGCUCAUUGCAAUUAUUAUUCUUAUUUAAAGGGUGACGUUUUCCUCCAUGUCAGUGCAGGAUAGGAAGAUCAAGAUCUCUCUCAGUGACCAAGGGAGAAGAACUUUUGGUCCACGUGCGUGUCUUGCAGUGGGGGAUCCCAAAUGAAGCCCCAAGUCCUGCAGCUCCUGGAAAUGCCACAUCAGAAACAUUCCUGCUACUGGGAAAAACACUUUGAAGACCGGGAAAACUGCAGACUUCAGUUGUUCUUUGUGGCUUCUGCAAUUUUUUCCUGGUGAGGUACAUUGCACGGAAAACCGUCGUGCCCGAUGUGGUCAGCAUUCUUAUUUACCAUAAGCAGAGCAGUUACACAUUGUUAAAUUAUUAUUAGCUUAGCUACCACUGGGAGGGUUGCCUCAGCCCUGCCAGCAGGGCUGAAACAAAUACCCACUGUUGCACACAGUCAACCAGCAAUGAGUUGCAUGGAUGCCCAGAACAUGUCUUGCUGCACGGCUGUCCCCCCAGGCAGCAGCCCUUGAGGAACACAGGCUGAGCUGGGAUCUCUUGCAAUGGGAUGGGUUGAACGUGUGGAUGCUUUGGAGCUGAAUCUGAAUGUUCUCAGUGUGAGCCUUCGUUCACCCGUUGUGUCAGCCCAUCCAAAGCUGAAGAAUUCACUGCCAAAGGAAAUCUGGAGCUAAAUUCUCAAUUCCAAGCUCUGACGCUGGCAAUAUUUGCACCAAGAAACCUGACAAAAUUCAGGAAGUUUUUUAUGGCCGAUUCUUUCUGCCUGGAUAGAGCUCAUGCCAACAACAAUAUCAGCUCUGUGAAAGAAUUUUAUGGUGUUUUGCUGUGCCUGUGCCAUGGGAAAAAGGGGCAAGGAUGGAUUUUACGGGGUGUUUGUAGAAGGACGAAGAACAUCAUCCUCACCCAAAGGGCAGCCAUCAAAGCAAAGCUGUGGCAGCAGGCAGUUCUGCUCAGCCUGAACGUGCAGGGAGCAUCCCAUGGCUGGGAGGUGACUGCAGCCUCCACAGCACUGCUGUAGGCAGACAGCUGAGACGUGGCAUUCUGCACAAACCGGUGGCUGACUCCAGGCUGGGCUGCAUCCCCCAUCCCAGCACCUCAACACUGACCCCCCCAGGAUUGCUCAGCAAUUAACUGUGCGCUCCACGGGUGAAAUGCGUGAAGUCUUGUGACAGCCACCUCGUCCCACAAGGCAGGGGGUGCUGAGAAAGACAAAACAACCCGCUCCCUCUCCUCUCUCAUUAAAGCAAAUGUCAUCGGCUGUGAUCAGCCUCUGUGUACAUGCACACAGCCAGCAGGAGAAAAUCAAACAUCAAAAGGGAAAGAAAAGAAAAAGAGACCCGAACAGGAUAUUGACAUCAUUGGGAGCUCUGCGAAUGGAGAUGAAAUGUAAAAUGAAGUUGCAAUCUGGCUGAUAGAAGUUGAGGACACGUUAACCCUUGGGCAGACCCGCUGCUUGCAGGGGUGGGAGGAGAGCUGCUUCCAUGGGCACCUGGGCUGCGAUUUGCUCUGGAAUGUGGGAGGAAUCUGACACCCAAAUUGCUUGGGAAGUUGGACACGUCCUGCCAUGGGCUGCUCGGGAAUUGCCAGUUCUCAUUAAUCUCUGCUGUGGAUCUGACAAGUCAGCUGGAGGGAAAUGGUUCAUUUCAUUUUCUUCUCAUCGAGAUUUUCCCACCGCUCUUUCCCUCCCCGUCUGUCCCACUGAUGAGGCAAGAAAAGGAUGACAAAGCAGAAAGCGAGGGAAGAUGCAGGGUGAACGUUUCCGCCGGGAUGUUUAAUGAUGAGAAAGGAAAGAAAGCACCAAAAGAAGUUCCUGACGGAAAAUUCCUCGCAGCUUUCAUGUCACAGCCCCUGACCUUCAGCUGCCCAUAAACGCCCUGCAGCCACCCCCAGCACGUUCCCAGCAGCCCGGUGGGGCUCUGCAUUGAGCCACCCUUCCACCAGCAAAGCUCAGACUGGGAAUUCAAACCCCAAAUCCGGCUGUGGGGUGCCAGCAGCCAAACACAGCCUGGUUCAGCACCCCGUGCUCUGGUACCCCAAGGGGCCAUCAUUCACCACCACAUGUGAUGUGUGGUGUGGGCACACACCUUCAGAAACCCUCAAAACCAAAUAAGAUAUCACUGUCGAUAGGAGUUCUGUGAAUAGAGAUGAGGUAUAAAAUCGAAACAAGUAUUUCCUUAUGGUCUUUUUUGUUUAUUUACUUGGGGAAAUAACCAUGCACGGAGCUGGCAUUAAGGACUGGCUUUUCAGGCACAUUUUUAGCUAACAGAAUAAAGGGAUUUAUUUCUGCAGUGAAGAAACAGAGGAAUAACUUGUAAAGGCACUGUAAUUCCAUCCAUUUGGAGCUGACUGUAGCUCUGAAGCAGCCGCAGAUAACUUAAGAUGUUGCAAGUUCAGAAGGGAUUUUUAUCUCUCUGUUUGGAGAAGCAUCGCCUUGACUUCAUCGGCACAAUCUCAGUGUGAGGCUGUAGUUUAAAUAACAGGAAGGAAGAGCGGCUGCCCCGGGUCCAAGUUUGCCCCAGGAUUUGGGAUAAAGGCCGGGCUGCCAAGCAGGGGGUCCCAAACCCCAUAGCAGCCCCAUCCCACGUGCUCUGGGGCUAUGGAGGGAUGCGGGGGACGGUUGGAUCAGAACAUCGCUGCCAUCCAGGGGAUCUGGGCAUGAAGUGUACAGGGAAGCCCUGAUGGAAGAAAACAGAGCAAUGCCAUGCUGAGCUUCCCAGAGCAGAGCAGGGUGAGCAGGUCCUGGCCCUGUGCUGCAGCCCCACUCAGACCAGUCUAUGUCUCGGUCGCUGUCUGCUCCCUGUGCCAGCUGUUAACCAGCACCACUUGCUCGGCCUGAGCUGACCCAGCCAAUACCUGGAAUUAAUGAAACAAAAAGGCCAUGAAGCAAGGAGCUGUUGUUACCUAAUGUGUCUCAUCCCCUGAGCAACGUGUCCAUCAGCACGGUGCUGCGCAUCAGGAGGGGAAGGCGAUUUGGGUGCCUCGCUGUGUGCUCAGCAGCUCGGAUCCCCUCUGCUGCUUCACCUUUCUAACCUGCAUCUCUUCUGCUGUUUUUAUAGAAACAGCCUCAAUUAUUCCCACCCUGUUCUAGCAGGCCUAGGGCCAAGCUGCUUAGCUGCAGGUUUUCCUGCUCGUGAACAGCAAGCAACACCUAUCCACGCAAUGCAGAAGAAGCAUCCCAGUGGGUUUGCAUUUGCACUUUGCUAAAGACAGUGCUUUUGGGGCUGAAUUUCACCCAGGAGAGGCAGCAGGAGACUCUGCAGUGCUCAGCACCGGGCAGGAUCGGGGCUGCACAUCACUCUGCCACUCAGCCCUGGGAUCCCAUCUGUGGGAUAGCAUAGGGCCGGUGACACGGGACUUAUGGAGCUGUGUGUUUCAACAUACAUUUUCCAAAAGCUAUUUCAUACGUUCCAUCACGCCGAGUAAUGCGCUGGAAACCAUCCAGGCUUGGGGAUGUUUCUGUAAACGCAUCAUCUCUGCCCUUCCACUGCUUUUGCUGUGAGCAGAGGGGACCCGGUGCUCCCCCCUCCUGCUGUGGGAGCUGGGGAUGCUGCGAGGACCUCUCUGCUCCUUUGCAGUGCAGCCCUUCGUUUUCACUCUGCUUUCACAGCAGCGUUUCAUAUGGUCUGUGUCUUGAUUUCCUAGAAGCAUCCCUGCACUUCUCUGGCUAUGAAAACACCCCCACGAUGUCCUGCACGUACAGACUCAUAUAUGCAGCACACACACCCACUAGAUGGCUGUUUUCUAGCUCUUUAUUUGAUUGAAUUGUUACCAGAGGGAGGUGACAUUUUCUCACAAAGCUUUUUCUACUGCAAAAUUCAGGCUUAAAGACACCAGACUGCUCAUAAAGUGUGUAUCAAACCCGCCUAUUUCAUCAGGUAGAGAAAGCAAAACAUUAGGAGAUAUUCUGGAAUAGCUGGAGAUACACCUAUAGAACCAGCAAAUGGAUAUAUGGGAUGGGUUGAAAAUGCCAGAACUGUUAGGUUGGGAUCUGUUUCUAAAGAAGAAAAAAGAGAGUAAAUCUUGGAAUGAAACCUGGAUGCUUUGUUCAAAGCCAGGCAGAUGUGUUCCAUCUGGGUAGGAGGAGGUAUUCAAAACAAGGCCUGAUUGUUUUCCAGCAGUUUCUAAAUUGCCAAAAAAAGCCAAAUCAGCAUUGGUUCUUACAGUCUGAUAUUCAAAUCCACCCUUAUUGUGCCUAAAACACAAAGUGGCCAUUGCUUGGCACUGGAGGGGCAUGCAGAGAUGUUUUAUAUAGUACAGCGAGCACAGAAUGGCACAUUGCCCUUCAGGGUCUGUUUCAUUAGAGCCAGAAGGAAAGGACAGUAAGUGAGGGUCGUGUUCCUAUUUGAAUCUAACAUUCCACCAAUGUCUUUGAUUGCAUCCAAGCAGAGGUGGGCAUUCUGCUGCGUUUUACUCUCCUGCUGUAAACAUGAAAUAUUACUUUUAAUAGAUCUUUUCCCCUCAGAAAAAGAGGCUGAACACGUGUAAUUAGAGCAACAGGCACGUGUCUGCGUUCAGGGAGACAUCCCCAUAAAGGCAGUUGGCAUUUGAGCAGUCUCGAGUUAAAUCUGAAGGCUGGAUCUAUCCAUCUCCUAUUUUAUCAUGAAUGCUAAUUGGAGUCUGAGGGCCCUUUGAUGGAAGCAACACGGCAAACACAGCGUGUACCACUUCCUCCAAUUUCCAGAAAGCAAUAGGCACGUGAAGUGGACGUUGGGUUUAAUUUAUACUGUGAGAAUCCCUCGCUGCACAAUGCCUCCGUUUCCAGAUAUUAUUAACAGAGCCGGAGCGUCCUUCCAUGUGUGCUGGUGGAAAGGAACGAUAAAUCAAGCAUGCUUCUGGGACGAUUGCAAAACCUCCGUGCAACUUGACUCACAGUCUAAAAAUGUGCUUGUGGAAUGGUUGUGGUUGCAUCACGUAGGUGCUGCAAAGCAAACACCGAUUUGGAGAACCUCCUCUCCCCAUCCUCACUUCCUUGCAGCACGUGGCCAUACGUUUUCUGCCCUCUCCAGGAGCUGCUGGAUACUGAAAGAGCAUCCCUGGGAUCGAUGGUCCUCUCCUUUCUGCUACCACAGCAGCAAGAAGGGAACUCGAACUGGGAUCAAAGAGGUUUGGUUCGGCUCCUGAGAAGAGAAUGAAGAAGGGAAGGGACAGGAGGAGCACAUCUGGAGGCUGGUGCAUGGCUGCGUGGCCUUCCCCUCCAGCGAGCAGCGUUUGGAGAGGAAAUUGCCUUGUGGAUAGCUGAUAUGGGUGUUUGCUCAGGGGGAGCGGUGCGCCCGGGCAGGGAAAGGAAAUUCCUGGAUGCCAAGUCAAAUAUAGGGAAAAGAAAGCAGAUUCUGCAAGAAUAACUAUAUGCUGGAGAGAGAAGUUGAGCAGCCAGUCGGUGGCCGGGCACUGGGUUUGGGCAUGUGGGUGAUGGUCCAAGGGUUGGCAUGCAGCACAUCCCAGUACACCAAUAUCCCAGAAUCCCCACAUCCCCAAUAACCCAACAUCCCAGCACCCCAACAUCCCAGCAUCCCAAUAUGCCAGCACUGCAGCAUUCCAGAGUCCCACUGCAGCCCUUGGGCUCCGCUCGCUGCCCAGCACUGCACUCGGGAACGCAGGCAUGGCCAUUCCAUGUGGCUGGCUCCAUUCUUUUCUGGUUUUUUCCAUUUUAGGAGCUAUCCUGCACCAGCUUCUUUAUCAGUAGUAAAGAAGAAAAAGAAAGGAAAAAGGCACAAAGUAAAAAAAAGCAAAGCAAAACAUAACCACAGCGUUUUCCGUGACCCUUCUCUGGCCUCUGCUUACACAAAAAAAUCCUGGCAUCCAUAAUGAUCAGGCCUUUGAUUGAACGACAUUUUAAUUCGGGAUAUAUUAAAACAGCAUGUUUUCAAAUGAGCGGUCCCAGAGCAGAAGGGGAAGAGCAGGCUCCCCAGAACCUCUCCAGCUUCAGAGUCACAAGCUGUGCCCCAGAUGCCAUCACGGCAGCUUUGAUAGGCAGGCCCCUUGAUUUAAAAUAGGGCAGGGGGGGGGGUUGGCUAAUUGAAACCAUUGUGUUAUGAUAACCAAAUGUCUUCUGCCUUUUGCAUCUCCCAUAGAUGGCAAUGCAUAUUGAAAAAGACAUAAUAAUGCCACGUCCGUUUUCAGGGAGAGAUCAAAGGCUCUCCUGGAAAGAGGAGCCCAGUUGUCCCCCCCAAUGCAUCUGGGCUGCAGACAGCCAGUGGUAAAGGCGACUUCAUUCAUCCGCGGGGCAGAGGAAUGCUGUCUGGGUGCUUUGAAAAGUGCAAGGGCUGGUGGAGGGAGGAAAAAGCUCUGUGUAUGGGAACAGGGUGGAUUUAUGGCCCUCAUGCUGCAAUGGGGUCCUGUGGCUUCACUGUGCAUUUUGGCACAGCUGGCGCUGCAUUACCCAGGAGGCUGAGAGUGGGCUGCAAUGGGAGCAGCAAUCACCCAAAGCAGAGUCAGUGGCACAGAACGACCAAACCCAGGGUGAGCAGCAUCCUUAGUUGCUGCCUGCAGAACGGUAGCCCCGAGCUUCCAAUACGCUCCAUGAAAGCAUCCUCAUGGGGGUUCAUUCUAUCACCCCGUCCACGGUUUCUGGGCAGCUCUGCCCUAUUUGGCUCCAGCUUGAAUUUGGACCAGAGCAGGUGGAUGGAGUGAAGCUGCCCCUGCAGCUGUGGGCAUCCUGCCUUGGUGCAUCAGGAUCAUUGUAGCAAAACGUGCACCUCAUGGGCUGCCCUGAUGUGUUGCUCUGCAGAACAUCUGCAGCUGCCAGCAGGGCUCAGGGUGCCUCCCAGGAUGUCAGGAUGCUGCUCCUGGAGGUACUGUGGAGGAAAAAGGGGCAGGUUUGGCUGAUUUUAGAAGGCAUCUAAUUGCACCAGAUGGUACGGGCAUGUUUAAUUCACCCUCCAGAGAGGCUGACCUGUGAGCCACCUAACGUGGCUUUAUUGCUUUUCCCUGCAUACCCAGCAAAUCUCUGAGUGCAAGAACUCUGCUUUGUUUGCAUGUACAAUGAGACACUGGGAAACACCUGCCCAUCGCUCAGCAGACGCUCAGCCCGCUUGCAAAUACAUUUUAAGCCAUAAUUAAAAUGACAUGCCAUCUUCUCCUCGUACUACACAAGCAGAAGUAUGGCGUAUGGCCUCCAGAAAUCCAGAAUAACUCAAAGCAGAACUGGUUUGUAUGCUUAAUCAGACUGUGUGCUGAAUGCAGAACAUAACAACAACAAAAAAAACCAAUUAAAAAAAACCCAAACAACCCCAAACCUUUAUUAAAUGCACAGCACUGAGUGGGGACUUCUGCUCAACGUUGAUUGAGACAUUGGAAAAUUCAGCCCUCGUGUUUCAUCAGCUGCACUGAAAUACUUCGGUGCAGAUGGACAGAGCCCAGAUGGCAACCUCGGCUGCGGAGCAUCUCUGCCCCAACCAUAUGCUGCUCAGAAGGGGAAGGGAUGCAGGGUUUGCUUCGUAGCUUUGGGACUCGCUGGUGCCACGUGGAGCUCAGAGCUGCUCAUUUCCACCCAACCCGCGCUAUGGUGACACGGUGGGGACGUGGCACUGCUGUCCUGCAGUGGGAAAAAGGCAUGGCAGGGAGCCAGGGAUGCACACACUGCGGCUUUGUGGGGCCACUGAUUGAGGCAGAUAGCGAUGUAAUCGGGCCAACACACACUGUCAGGGGGAGGGCUGUUUGGUACUGCGGGUUGAGCACUUUCUGCAAGAACAGGAGGGCUUUCUUUUUGAGAACACGAGAGCUGAGCAAACACCUCCAGCAGAACCUCGUGAGACAUUCCGUGGAAGGUGGCAAGCAUUGGAUGAGUAACAUUUCCCCAUAGUGCAUUAAUCAACGCCUGCUUGGCCAAGCAGCAGUCAGUGUGAGAGGAGGACGAGUUGGGCUCCCAGGCACACGGGGAACUGCUGAGACUCAGAUUGCACACAGCAGCACCACAGCGACAAAGCUGCCUUGGUUCAGCACCCAGGGGCACUGCCACAAUCCCAGCUCAGAGAUGGGAUGGGAGGUAUGGUGUGCAACUCGUUGCUGGUUCCAUGAGAGCUUCUCCAUGGCGCUCACACAGGGACAUAAAAUGUGAGGGGUGGCCUCUGUCCUCCUGGCACCGUGGUUCCCUGAGUGCAGCUCCCUUCCUUGAGCAGGAUCAGAGCAGGGCUUCGGAGGAUCCUACGCAGAGAGCAUCCUCCAAGGACGUGUUUUCAAAGGCUCUCCAUCUCCCAAAGGCUGAAUAAUCUCAAGAAAGGGCCCAGGAAGAAGUGAAAUCCUCUCCAGAACGGUCAUUUGCAAGAGUGUGUUUCCAUAACCUUGCAUUGUUACAGCAUCACAAGGAUUUGUCUCCUCUUCUGGCUCCAGCACACAUGUUCCUGGCUCCCAUGGAGGCACUGUGGACAGCCCAUGCCAUACAACGUGCCAGAAACAUGACCUCCCCAUGAACUUUGGGCCAUAUUUUCAAGUCUGCGCCCAGCUCCUUGCAGGCAGGGCUGUCUGGCCAGUGCAUUCUGGCCCUUUUGCAUGGAAAAUGAGCUGUGUCAGCCUUCGUGGCCCACUGGCUUGCCAGCUGCGUCCCUAACAGCACUUUGCAGCCUCCUCCCUCCGUGCUCAACAUGUUGCCUUCACCUGGCACAUGGGACAGCAACGAGGGGACUGUGAGCUUGUCCUCGGUGGCUGGGGCCCAGCUGGCCACCCCCAUCUCCCCACUGCAGCCACCGCACGCUCCUCGAUGCAGCAGAACUCAAUGUACAGCCCUUUUAUUUUUCCUCCUUGGUUUUCCUGUUUCCAGAACAGUUGAAUAUUUUACUUGCAUCGUGCCCCAGUUCCCCAGUUUCCAGCAGGCAGAACAGGGCGAUCUGUACCCACCUCUUGCAGCAGCUGGUGCUUGUUCCCCUGGCAAAACUUCACUUUGGAGCUGAACCCAACAAUGCUGCUGACUCCAACUGAUUCUUUCUCCCCCAGCCUAAGGCACUUUAUGAUGAUAUUAAUAACCAGACACUGAGGUUCAGCACUAAGGAUUUCUUAAGCUUGCUGCUGGGGCUGUGAUUGAGCUUUGUAGCCAUCUCUGCUUCAUCCCAUGAUCCAUCAGGGUUGGUGGGGACACCCAGACCUCUUUUGGGAAGUCCCUCCACAGCUCCUCUCUCCCAUAGCACCCAUGGGGUCAGGGGCAGACUGGGUGCUCCCAGACCUCUUUCCUGUUCUGCCCUUAAUACACCAAAGGGAGAUCUCUUGUUCGAUGGUUCUCUAUUAACCCUAUUCAUGAGUCUUUUAAUUAGUGUUGCCUUCUGCUAAGUAAUCGCUUCAGCAUUAGCUCCUCUGGGGCAAUGCAGAGCUGCAACAGGGCACUGCAGGAGUUGCAUGCUGCUGUUCUGCCUUCUGGACCUGCUCCUGCUGGCAACUAUGCCAUUCCUUUUGCACAGACCGCACAGUGCCAGAGCAGCCCACUAAAACUUGCAAAGAAAAGCAGAAAGAAGCAUCUGAAACCCCACCAGGAGCUGCGGCAGGUAGAGUUCUACCCUUACAUCUGGGAAACCUCCAGCUCAGCUCAAUCCUGCUGAUGCACUGCUAAGGGGAGCUUUGUAGUGGCCCUAUUCAAAGCACUCAGCUCUGGGGGCAUGUUUCCCCCAGCACCCAGGAGCAAUGUUUCCUUUGUCAAUUCAGGGUCCCCACCAAUCUGCAUCACCCCAUGCCUGGAGGCAGAGCUGCCAUGGCUGCCUUUUAUCCCCUGCAUCCUCCGGCAGAGCUCACAAAGUGGUACUUUGUACCAGAGCAAGAAACAAGAGACGUGAGCUGUAAUACAGGAGAGAGAGAAAAAAAAACCCUCAUCUCACCCCUUGUGUUUUUCCUGGAAAUGUCACUGCCCUUAAUGCAUCAAAUAAUUAGAAUCACUUCUCCCCUUUUGUUUGCCUUGGCCCUCACUGCUCGCAUUGAGUGGGCCAACAUAAACCUGUGCGCACCACAGGAAUUUUGGGCACAGCCCAUUCUGCAGUGCUGGGUGCAGGGGGAGAAGUGGCUGCAGGAGCUUUGGUUCUGCUCCAUAUGUCUCUGCUGCUGUGGGCACUGCUGGGCACGGAGCUCCCAUAGAGAGGACCUCACUGCAACGCUAGCGCUCAACCAAGUGCUGGUCCCUAUGGAAAUCCACUGUCCUGGAGAGAAGCAGCAGCAGCUGAUGCCCAUUUAAUGCCAAAAUUGCAGAUUUGUGUUUGACCUGAGUGGUGGGUGUGAGCGUGAUGCUGGCAGGACAGAUGGGUGGAUAGCUCUCUGAAGUCCCAGUGGGAUGUUACGCUUGUUGCUCUGUAGUUGUAGCCUUCUCCUCUGGGUGCUGGGGAGUGCUCCGAGGUGACGUGGGAGAACAUAUCCCUUGUGAAUGCUGGAAAGCUGUGCUGGGUGAGGUGGCAUUGCACCACUAAUCCACGCACAGAGGAGCCCAGCACCCCCUCAGCACCCCUUACAGACACAGAUGGACACAGCCAGCAUCACAGCCCAGCUGGCUGCCUGCCCCCAGUACCGCUCCCAUGGGCUGCAUGUAUGUCAAUGGGUUAUUAAAGAAACGGAUGGGGGAUUAGCUGUGCUGUAGGUAGAGACCCCAUUCAGAUUUGCUAAGUUUCAGCAAGUAUGUUUUCAAUAAUUGGCUGGUAUUUGUAAGAAAUGAAUAAAACCUAGGCUACUAAAGCUGGUCCUUCUCUUAUUAUAAGGCAUUUAUUGCAUGCUUAGAAGCAUAUGUCUUCAAUAUCUGAAGCAAAGGAAAGUAAUAUAUAAGGAUCCCUUCUUAAACACAAAUAUAUGCAGCCAUAAUCACAAUUAUUAGCCACCAUGAAAUAGCUAACAAACUGAAGAAGCCCCCUCAGCAGCAGCUUUACAACUGGGGGUGCAUAAGAAAUAAAGACAAAGGAGAGAAUUGCCCUCUUAGCUGUGCGAGACUCCACAAGGCAGAGGAAGGAUCAGCUCUGCUGAGGAGUGUUGGCAUCUCGGAGAAGGUUCACGGAUGAAGCCAAUGGAGAAGGGUGUGCAGGAGCGGGGCAGGGAAUUGGGAAGCAGCGCUGCUGCUGGUGGUUGUAUCCUUCUGAAGAAAGAACACUGGAAAACUAAAGCUACCUGUCACUGCUGCUGUUAUCACAGAGGUAUUUGGGAGAGGGUGAGCGAAUGUUUCUGCAGGACUGCGUGCUGAUUUAUUGGUACGGAGGGAGGUGCAGCGGGGAAACCACUGUGCGGAUCGUUGGCGAGGAGGGGCACGUGGUUCUCCAAAGAUUUUUGUCUGAAAACGCAAUCAGCUGAAGUCAGCGCCGCGCCGAGGGUCUGAGCAGAGCUCAGUGCUGCUCAAGGAGGCACUUUCAUGUAAGAGGGAAGAAAUGGGCCCUGGCUCUGUGUAUAUCCCUGUUGGUCUUCUGAACACUUCGCGUUGCGUCUUCCUCCUCACUGCACCGCCCUGAAGCACAUACAGAAAAUGAUUGCUGAAAACGGGGUGUCCGCGAGUCACAAUGAGUGCAAUUAAACCAUGGAACGGAUUCCCCAGGGAUCUCACGCAUCCUUGGCUGCUUGGAGGAGCCUCAGGGCGGGCUGCAGCAGCUCCUUCCCUUUGGUGGAGCAGCGCUGUUCCUCCUGGGAUUUGCUCCAAAUGGACAGCUCUGCUCUGCUCCAGCUGCUCGGUGGGUUUCUCUCCAGCACGUUGCUGGUUUGCACAUCGUUUCAAGCCUGCAGCUGUUAUCGGGCUGUUGGUUUGAGCGUUGUUCACUUCCAAUCCCUGCCUCAUUGCAGGGGGAGACCAUCCCUGGAGAUCCUCCCCUCUCCCAUCUCCAGGGCACCGAUCCUCAGCCACUCUGAGCGCAAUGCAGACACCACACAGCUCAGCAGGUUUCAGUGCCUCUGCCACCAACUGCGACUCAAAUCCAAAGCGAUUUGGCUUUGUUUUGUUUCUAAGUUGCUGCUCGAGCUUUCUUGGCUCACAGGCAGAUUUUCUCUUCCAAGGUUUCAGUGGUGGAGGGCUGUUUCUCUAAUCCCCAAUAGUUUGAGAUUAUCUCCAGCCAACAAUUAAUCAGAAUCAGAAUUUUGCACUGCUUGCCUGUGCUGCUGCAUUGAGUGCAUGUAAAACCCUCUUUCCUCUGAAGAAAAGCAUGUUCUACUUUCCUAUGUUGCCUCCGGUCUCUUUAGCUGUCAGGGCACUCGGCAUCACACCAGGAUGCUGAAUAGGCCAAGGGAUGCCUUAAACAUACCACUCAAACAGGCAGAAAGCGGAUUCAGGAAGGCUCAACACGAGCUGAAAGCUCACUGUUUAGGAAGCAUCUCUGCUGGGGUGAGGGUUGGCUCUUAUGGGUUUGUGUUGUGGACUCAGCACUUGGGCAGCUUUGUUUUGGUGCAUGGAAUGCUCAGAGGCGUUCUCUGAGCGUGUGUUUGGGUAAUAGCCAAAAAUGAACCCAGUUAGCUAAUGGAAAUGCAUCCUUCCUCCUGUGCUGGGACUGCGUUGCACUGAGUGCGUUGGAAACAGCACCAGAAGUGAUGUCUGACUGCUGCAGAUCCCAAACCCUCAGUCAGGCACUGCUCUGUGGAUGAGCAAGAUGGGCACAGCUGGAUCUGCUCCUCAAGGAUCCGCUGCAGGUGUGUGACUGGGGAAUUUUUCCCAACCACUCAACCUUCUGACAGGGCUUCCAUCAGCUGGAGCUGCCUCUCCCUUCCAGCAUCUCUUCAGGCUGAAAAGAAAUCAUAUUUCCUGAAGCAACACCAAACAGGGAAGUGGUGCUGCUUUGUCACGUCCAAUUUCAAGUAGCUCUUCUCCUUAAGCUGCUCACAAACAAGCGAGGAGGAUGUAACACACAGCUUCUUUCAGACACGAUUCUCUCCUGCUGAGCCCUGAUCUCUUGCUGUCUGCAGCUCUGUGCUCUAUAGAUGGCACACGAUGCCAGCUCUGCCUGGCAGCCACAAGCUGAUGGGAUUUGUAUUUGUCCCAUCACCCCAUGAGCUGUCACAGGGGUGGAUCCCACUCCCUCCUGGCACUUGCUGUCUGCUGAGGACUCCCGUGUUAUCACUGCUGUCAACUUCCAAGCUGCGUUUUAUAUGGGAAGGAAAGCUGCCAGGCUGCUCUGCGAGCCAGUAGGUAUUCUUGGAGACAAAACAUUCAGUCUGGACCCGGCGCUGGUGGUUAAGCUUUAUUUGGUUCUCAUUUCCUUGAGAACUGGAUGCUCCUCUCCAUCUGUCAGCUCACAAAGCUGGGUCAGGCCGGCUGCAUCCUCUGCUCCAAAGCAAGGACCCCAAAAGGGAUCAGCUCCCCUUGACAUCAACGGGUUCUGGAUUGGGCCCCGGGCAAAGGCUCUCAAGAACGUGCUGCAGUUUGGGAAGCGGAGAAGCUGCGGUUUAACAUGGGAAUAGUUGGAGCAAGAAAAAUGUUAUUACCAAAACUCAGCUUAAACCAAGAGUACCGCGAGGUCAAACGCUGCAGCCAGUCAGAAACACAGUGUUCUUGAGGAUUGUUAUACUGGAGUUACAGGAGACAAGGUGCUUUCGUGGUAAAUGGAAAACGCAGCUCGGCAGAGAGGAGGAAGCUGCAGCAAAUGCACUGCUGAUGUUAAGCUGCUGCCUCCCUGGGGCCAAGCAGCAGUGCAUGACUGGGAACGUCCCAUCCCUGGGUCAGCAGCUGGACACCUCCAAGGCAGGGACCCCCCAGCCCCUCUUAAAGCUCUCUUGAAUGAUCCCAUGCUGCAGAGAGUACUACUCUGUACAAACAUGUAUACAAAUGUAAGUACAUCCAUAUACUUGGCUGAGAUGUAUAAACUCUGCAAUGGACUUUGGAUGUAAGUGUGGU